UACGUAGGGGGCAAGCGUUGUCCGGAUUCAUUGGGCGUAAAGAGCGUGUAGGCGGCCAGGUAGGUCGGUUGUGAAAACUGGAGGCUCAACCUUCAGACGUCGACCGAAACCAUCUGGCUAGAGUCCGGGAGAGGAGAGUGGAAUUCCUGGUGUAGCGGUGAAAUGCGCAGAUAUCAGGAAGAACACCAAUGGCGAAAGCAGCUCUCUGGGACGGUACUGACGCUGAGACGCGAAAGCGUGGGGAGCGAACAGG
RNAcentral lists this ribosomal RNA (253 nucleotides) under uncultured bacterium. RNAcentral describes it as "partial 16S ribosomal RNA". It matches the Rfam family "Bacterial small subunit ribosomal RNA", at positions 524 to 776 of the family's 1533-position model. The record is from RNAcentral.